AGAGUUUGAUCCUGGCUCAGGAUGAACGCUAGCGGCAGGCUUAACACAUGCAAGUCGAGGGGUAGAGGAAGCUUGCUUCCUUGAGACCGGCGCACGGGUGCGUAACGCGUAUGCAAUCUACCUUAUACAGGGGGAUAGCCAGGGAAUUUGGAUUAAUACCCCAUAGUAUAAUUGAAUGGCAUCAUUUGAUUAUUAAAGUUCCAACGGUAUAAGAUGAGCAUGCGUCCCAUUAGCUAGUUGGUGUGGUAACGGCACACCAAGGCGACGAUGGGUAGGGGUCCUGAGAGGGAGAUCCCCCACACUGGUACUGAGACACGGACCAGACUCCUACGGGAGGCAGCAGUGAGGAAUAUUGGUCAAUGGGCGCAAGCCUGAACCAGCCAUGCCGCGUGCAGGAUGGCGGUCCUAUGGAUUGUAAACUGCUUUUGUACAGGAAGAAACACUCCCUCGUGAGGGAGCUUGACGGUACUGUAAGAAUAAGGAUCGGCUAACUCCGUG
Molecule: ribosomal RNA, 498 nt
Filed under: uncultured bacterium
Lineage: Bacteria
Description: bacterial SSU rRNA
Rfam family: Bacterial small subunit ribosomal RNA
Source: RNAcentral